GCUCUCCUGAUGGUUAGCGGCGGACGGGUGAGUAACACGUAGGCAACCUGCCUGCAAGACCGGGAUAACCCACGGAAACGUGAGCUAAUACCGGAUAUCUCAUUUCCUCUCCUGAGGGAAUGAUGAAAGACGGAGCAAUCUGUCACUUGCGGAUGGGCCUGCGGCGCAUUAGCUAGUUGGUGAGGUAACGGCUCACCAAGGCGACGAUGCGUAGCCGACCUGAGAGGGUGAACGGCCACACUGGGACUGAGACACGGCCCAGACUCCUACGGGAGGCAGCAGUAGGGAAUCUUCCGCAAUGGGCGAAAGCCUGACGGAGCAACGCCGCGUGAGUGAUGAAGGUUUUCGGAUCGUAAAGCUCUGUUGCCAGGGAAGAACGUCCGAUAGAGUAACUGCUAUCGGAGUGACGGUACCUGAGAAGAAAGCCCCGGCUAACUACGUGCCAGCAGCCGCGGUAAUACGUAG
Molecule: ribosomal RNA, 465 nt
Filed under: Paenibacillus sp. EB09
Lineage: Bacteria; Bacillati; Bacillota; Bacilli; Caryophanales; Paenibacillaceae
Description: bacterial SSU rRNA
Rfam family: Bacterial small subunit ribosomal RNA
Source: RNAcentral